RNAcentral lists this ribosomal RNA (253 nucleotides) under uncultured bacterium. RNAcentral's name for it is "partial 16S ribosomal RNA". It matches the Rfam family "Bacterial small subunit ribosomal RNA", at positions 524 to 776 of the family's 1533-position model. The record is from RNAcentral.
UACCGAGGGGGCAAGCGUUGUUCGGAAUUACUGGGCGUAAAGGGCGCGUAGGCGGCCCGCUAAGUCGAACGUGAAAUCCCCGGGCUUAACCCGGGAACUGCGUCCGAUACUGGCAGGCUUGAAUUCGGGAGAGGGAUGUGGAAUUCCAGGUGUAGCGGUGAAAUGCGUAGAUAUCUGGAGGAACACCGGUGGCGAAGGCGGCAUCCUGGACCGGCAUUGACGCUGAGGCGCGAAAGCCAGGGGAGCAAACGGG